This 492-nucleotide ribosomal RNA is filed under the name uncultured bacterium. Its description in RNAcentral is "partial 16S ribosomal RNA". It matches the Rfam family "Bacterial small subunit ribosomal RNA", at positions 29 to 507 of the family's 1533-position model. The record is from RNAcentral.
AGUGAACGCUGGCGGUAGGUCUAACACAUGCAAGUCGAACGGCAGCACAGUAAGAGCUUGCUCUUACGGGUGGCGAGUGGCCGACGGGUGAGGAAUACAUCGGAAUCUACUUUUUCGUGGGGGAUAACGUAGGGAAACUUACGCUAAUACCGCAUACGACCUACGGGUGAAAGCAGGGGAUCUUCGGACCUUGCGCGAUUGAAUGAGCCGAUGUCGGAUUAGCUAGUUGGCGGGGUAAAGGCCCACCAAGGCGACGAUCCGCAGCUGGUCUGAGAGGAUGAUCAGCCACACUGGAACUGAGACACGGUCCAGACUCCUACGGGAGGCAGCAGUGGGGAAUAUUGGACAAUGGGCGCAAGCCUGAUCCAGCCAUACCGCGUGGGUGAAGAAGGCCUUCGGGUUGUAAAGCCCUUUUGUUGGGAAAGAAAAGCAGCAGGUUAAUACCCCGCUGUUCUGACGGUACCCAAAGAAUAAGCACCGGCUAACUUCGUG